Molecule: ribosomal RNA, 544 nt
Filed under: Lomentospora prolificans
Lineage: Eukaryota; Fungi; Ascomycota; Sordariomycetes; Microascales; Microascaceae
Description: Scedosporium prolificans Eukaryotic small subunit ribosomal RNA
Rfam family: Eukaryotic small subunit ribosomal RNA
Source: Rfam by way of RNAcentral
GGCUGAAACUUAAAGAAAUUGACGGAAGGGCACCACCAGGGGUGGAACCUGCGGCUUAAUUUGACUCAACACGGGGAAACUCACCAGGUCCAGACACAGUGAGGAUUGACAGAUUGAGAGCUCUUUCUUGAUUCUGUGGGUGGUGGUGCAUGGCCGUUCUUAGUUGGUGGAGUGAUUUGUCUGCUUAAUUGCGAUAACGAACGAGACCUUAACCUGCUAAAUAGCCCGUACUGCUUUGGCAGUUCGCCGGCUUCUUAGAGGGACUAUCGGCUCAAGCCGAUGGAAGUUUGAGGCAAUAACAGGUCUGUGAUGCCCUUGAAUGUCCUGGGACGCACGCGCUUGACGCUGACAGAGCCAGCGAGUAUUUCCUGGACCGGAAGGUCCGGGUAAUCUUGUUAAACUCUGUCGUGCUGGGGAUAGAGCAUUGCAAUUAUUGCUCUUCAACGAGGAAUCCCUAGUAAGCGCAAGUCAUCAGCUUGCGUUGAUUACGUCCCUGCCCUUUGUACACCCCGCCCGUCGCUACUACCGAUUGAAUGGCUCAGUG